This 649-nucleotide ribosomal RNA is filed under the name uncultured bacterium. RNAcentral describes it as "bacterial SSU rRNA". It matches the Rfam family "Bacterial small subunit ribosomal RNA", at positions 43 to 740 of the family's 1533-position model. The record is from RNAcentral.
CAGGCCUAACACAUGCAAGUCGAGCGCGCCUUCGGGUGAGCGGCGGACGGGUUAGUAACGCGUGGGAACGUGCCCUUCUCUACGGAAUAGCCUCUGGAAACGGAGAGUAAUACCGUAUACGCCCUUUGGGGGAAAGAUUUAUCGGAGAAGGAUCGGCCCGCGUUAGAUUAGGUAGUUGGUGGGGUAACGGCCUACCAAGCCUACGAUCUAUAGCUGGUUUUAGAGGAUGAUCAGCAACACUGGGACUGAGACACGGCCCAGACUCCUACGGGAGGCAGCAGUGGGGAAUCUUAGACAAUGGGGGCAACCCUGAUCUAGCCAUGCCGCGUGAGUGAUGAAGGCCUUAGGGUCGUAAAGCUCUUUCGCCUGUGAUGAUAAUGACAGUAGCAGGUAAAGAAACCCCGGCUAACUCCGUGCCAGCAGCCGCGGUAAUACGGAGGGGGUUAGCGUUGUUCGGAAUUACUGGGCGUAAAGCGCGCGUAGGCGGAUUAGAAAGUUGGGGGUGAAAUCCCGGGGCUCAACCUCGGAACUGCCUCCAAAACUGCUAGUCUAGAGUUCGAGAGAGGUGAGUGGAAUUCCGAGUGUAGAGGUGAAAUUCGUAGAUAUUCGGAGGAACACCAGUGGCGAAGGCGGCUCACUGGCUCGAUAC